UGGGGAAUCUUCCGCAAUGGGCGAAAGCCUGACGGAGCAAUGCCGCGUGAGUGAAGAAGGGAUUCGUUCCGUAAAGCUCUUUUGUUUAUGACGAAUGUGCAUGUUGUGAAUAAUGACGUGUAAUGACGGUAGUAAACGAAUAAGCCACGGCUAACUACGUGCCAGCAGCCGCGGUAAUACGUAGGUGGCGAGCGUUGUCCGGAAUUAUUGGGCGUAAAGAGCAUGUAGGCGGUUUUUUAAGUCCGGAGUGAAAAUGCGGGGCUCAACCCCGUAUGGCUCUGGAUACUGGAAGACUUGAGUGCAGGAGAGGAAAGGGGAAUUCCCAGUGUAGCGGUGAAAUGCGUAGAUAUUGGGAGGAACACCAGUGGCGAAGGCGCCUUUCUGGACUGUGUCUGACGCUGAGAUGCGAAAGCCAGGGUAGCGAACGGG
Molecule: ribosomal RNA, 429 nt
Filed under: uncultured Phascolarctobacterium sp.
Lineage: Bacteria; Bacillati; Bacillota; Negativicutes; Acidaminococcales; Acidaminococcaceae
Description: bacterial SSU rRNA
Rfam family: Bacterial small subunit ribosomal RNA
Source: RNAcentral